RNAcentral lists this ribosomal RNA (804 nucleotides) under uncultured bacterium. RNAcentral describes it as "bacterial SSU rRNA". It matches the Rfam family "Bacterial small subunit ribosomal RNA", at positions 8 to 794 of the family's 1533-position model. The record is from RNAcentral.
AGAGUUUGAUCAUGGCUCAGGACGAACGCUGGCGGCGUGCCUAAUACAUGCAAGUCGAGCGGAUUAAUGGGAGCUUGCUCCCGUUAGUUAGCGGCGGACGGGUGAGUAACACGUGGGCAACCUACCUAUAAGACUGGGAUAACUUCGGGAAACCGGAGCUAAUACCGGAUGACAUAAAGGAACUCCUGUUCCUUUAUUGAAAGAUGGCUUCGGCUAUCACUUACAGAUGGGCCCGCGGCGCAUUAGCCAGUUGGUGAGGUAACGGCUCACCAAGGCAACGAUGCGUAGCCGACCUGAGAGGGUGAUCGGCCACACUGGGACUGAGACACGGCCCAGACUCCUACGGGAGGCAGCAGUAGGGAAUCUUCCGCAAUGGACGAAAGUCUGACGGAGCAACGCCGCGUGAGCGAUGAAGGCCUUCGGGUCGUAAAGCUCUGUUGUUAGGGAAGAACAAGUGCUAGUUGAAUAAGCUGGCACCUUGACGGUACCUAACCAGAAAGCCACGGCUAACUACGUGCCAGCAGCCGCGGUAAUACGUAGGUGGCAAGCGUUGUCCGGAAUUAUUGGGCGUAAAGCGCGCGCAGGCGGUUUCUUAAGUCUGAUGUGAAAGCCCCCGGCUCAACCGGGGAGGGUCAUUGGAAACUGGGGAACUUGAGUGCAGAAGAGGAGAGCGGAAUUCCACGUGUAGCGGUGAAAUGCGUAGAGAUGUGGAGGAACACCAGUGGCGAAGGCGGCUCUCUGGUCUGUAACUGACGCUGAGGCGCGAAAGCGUGGGGAGCGAACAGGAUUAGAUACCCUGGUAGU